Molecule: long non-coding RNA, 5841 nt
Organism: Eriocheir sinensis (Chinese mitten crab)
Lineage: Eukaryota; Metazoa; Arthropoda; Malacostraca; Decapoda; Varunidae
Exons: 4
Source: RefSeq, a predicted model, not a curated record
CACACACACACACACACACACACACACACACACACACACACACACACACACACACACACACACACACACACACACAUUUAAAUCAUCCUUCAUUUUUUCCUUAUAAUAAAUUUGCAUAUAUUUAUUUUUUUGAUAAAUCUAAGAACACAUUUUUGAGAUACUGCUUGAUUUUUUUCCUUAUUUUCUCUUUCUUUUCUUUCUUUUCCUUGUCAAAUUCCUACAAUGGGUAAUUUCCUUGCUGUCAAAUUUCCAGGUUCUUGUCAGGGAACGUUUGAGUUGACAAGAUCACUCGGCAGGCUUUCAGUGAUGAGGCUGUUCUUGGUUGGUAUUAUAGACUCUUGCUUCUCAUAUCAGCUGUUUCUAAAGGUCAAGAGAGGGUCAGUCUGCUUCUAAUGAGUGUUUCUUUAGGUUCAUGGUACAGAGGAAGGGUCACACUACCACCAGGGUCAUGAAACUACCCCUGGAAAUGCCCACAACUCCUACGAAAGCCUUGUCAUAUGUGUGUUUCUUUAGGCUCAUGGUACAGAGGAAGGGUCACACUACCACCAGGGUCAUGAAACUACCCCUGGAAAUGCCCACAACUCCUACGAAAGCCUUGUCAUAUGUGUGUUUCUUUAGGUUCAUGGUACAGAGGAAGGGUCACACUACCACCAGGGUCAUGAAACUACCCCUGGAAAUGCCCACAACUCCCAUGAAAGCCUUGUCAAAUAUGUUCUUUUAGGUUCAUGGUACAGAGGAAGGGUCACACUACCACCAGGGUCAUGAAACUACCCCUGGAAAUGCCCACAACUCCCAUGAAAGCCUUGUCAAAUAUGUUCUUUUAGGUUCAUGGUACAGAGGAAGGGUCACACUACCACCAGGGUCAUAAAACUACCCCUGGAAAUGCCCACAACUCCCAUGAAAGCCUUGUCAAAUAUGUUCCUUUAGGUUCAUGGUACAGAGGAAGGGUCACACUACCACCAGGGUCAUAAAACUACCCCUGGAAAUGCCCACAACUCCCAUGAAAGCCUUGUCAAAUAUGUUCCUUUAGGUUCAUGGUACAGAGGAAGGGUCACACUACCACCAGGGUCAUGAAACUACCCCUGGAAAUGCCCACAACUCCCAUGAAAGCCUUGUCAAAUAUGUUCCUUUAGGUUCAUGGUACAGAGGAAGGGUCACACUACCACCAGGGUCAUGAAACUACCCCUGGAAAUGCCCACAACUCCCAUGAAAGCCUUGCCAAAUAUGUUCCUUUAGGUUCAUGGUACAGAGGAAGGGUCACACUACCACCAGGGUCAUGAAACUACCCCUGGAAAUGCUCACAACUCCCAUGAAAGCCUUGUCAAAUAUGUUCCUUUAGGCUCAUGGUACAGAGGAAGGGUCACACUUAUCAGGACCCAUCAAGAAAGACUAUCAAAGCCAUAGGGGGAUAGAUAGAUAGAUAGAUUCUUAAGCACCUCAUUUCAAGUGCCUGUAUUCCUUGUGUGUCUAUGGCUUUUAAUGUCCGUGUUUCCGAAGUGUUUAUUGCAAUUGUCAGGAUAAGUGAGCCAUACAGGUUUGUUUUUAAUCUUGUGUUUGUGUCGCUCCUGGUCAGCACUCCUGGCCUCGGUCUACCAAAGGCUGCCGAGGCUGGUGCUGGCCGCCUCUUGACGUCCUCUGUUGUGCGCGCCACCACGCUGCCCAGGGAAACACAAUGAUGGAUGUUGUCUAUUUCCUGGCCUUCUGUUUCAAUACGUUCUUGUUCCAGUAUCAUGAUCUUACACUUGAUACUGUUUAGCUUCAUGCCACAUAUCUCUCUCUCUCUCUCUCUCUCUCUCUCUCUCUCUCUCUCUCUCUCUCUCUCUCUCUCUCUAAGCCCCUCACAGCACAGUCCUUGCAUAACAAUGGUAUCAAAUCACUUCCUUUGGACAAAUGAACCAAAACAGAACUUGAUGACCUCUGUAGGGCUUGGCUGGGGCACCUUUCCUUGCCUUCCUUGAGUGUCUACAGCUGUCCUUGCCUUCCUUGAGUGUCCUACAGCUGUCCUUGCCUUCCUUGAGUGUCCUACAGCUGUCCUUGCCUUCCUUGAGUGUCUACAGCUGUCCUUGCCUUCCUUGAGUGUCCUACAGCUGUCCUUCCCUUCCUUGAGUGUCUACAGCUUUCCUUGCCUUCCUUGAGUGUCCUACAGCUUUCCUUGCCUUCCUUGAGUGUCCUACAGCUUUCCUACCCUUCCUUGAGUGUCCUACAGCUUUCCUUGCCUUCCUUGAGAGUCCUACAGCUUUCCUUGCCUUCCUUGUGUGUCUACAGCUGUCCUUGCCUUCCUUGAGUGUCCUACAGCUUUCCUACCCUUCCUUGAGUGUCCUACAGCUGUCCUUGCCUUCCUUGAGUGUCUACAGCUGUCCUUCCCUUCCUUGAGUGUCCUACAGCCUUCCUUGCCUUCCUUGAGUGUCUACAGCUGUCCUUCCCCCUGUACACAGCUGCAAGGUGUGGACAGCUGUGUGUGCUGGGUGCUGGCUGGGCUGAGGCUCCUGAUCACAAUGACGAUGAUACUCCAAAUGUAGAUUCCUUUUUUUCUUUAUUAUUUAGAGGAAAGGAAAAGAAUAGAGAAGAAUAGAAGGCAAGUCACAACGCUUCACCUGUUGAUAUUUCUCUUUUUUAUUAUCUCUCUCUCUCUCUCUCUCUCUCUCUCUCUCUCUCUCUCUCUCUCUCUCUCUCUCUCUCUCUCUCUCUCUCUCCCCUCCAGUUUAUAAUGCCAGAAAUUGUGUCAUUAUUUUGUGAACUUGGAUAACUAAUGUUCAUUCCUAUGUUCAAAUAUGUUCUAGCUCCUUUCCAUAAGACAAAAUCCUGCUUCUAUAUAAAUGAAUCCUAUCUGAUACUACUAAUUAAAACAACCUAAUGAAUUUAAAUGAUCAAUGUUGCCAAAUAAUAACGAAUGACUUAUAUUCUGGUAUUAGUCAUUUGUAGUGUUGCCAUGGUCUGUGUUCAAUUGUAAUGUGUUGCCAUGGGUCUGUGUUCAAUUGUAGUGUGUUGCCAUGGGUCUGUGUUCAUUUGUAAUGUGUUGCCAUGGGUCUGUGUUCAUUUGUAGUGUGUUGCCAUGGGUCUGUGUUCAAUUGUAGUGUGUUGCCAUGGGUCUGUGUUCAAUUGUAGUGUGUUGCCAUGGGUCUGUGUUCAAUUGUCGUGUGUUGCCAUGGGUCUGUGUUCAAUUGUAGUGUGUUGCCAUGGGUCUGUGUUCAAUUGUAGUGUGUUGCCAUGGGUCUGUGUUCAAUUGUAAUGUGUUGCCAUGGGUCUGUGUUCAAUUGUAAUGUGUUGCCAUGGGUCUGUGUUCAAUUGUAAUGUGUUGCCAUGGGUCUGUGUUCAAUUGUAAUGUGUUGCCAUGGGUCUGUGUUCAAUUGUAAUGUGUUGCCAUGGGUCUGUGUUCAAUUGUAAUGUGUUGCCAUGGUCUGUGUUCAAUUGUAGUGUGUUGCCAUGGGUCUGUGUUCAAUUGUAGUGUGUUGCCAUGGGUCUGUGUUCAAUUGUAGUGUGUUGCCAUGGGUCUGUGUUCAAUUGUAGUGUGUUGCCAUGGGUCUGUGUUCAAUUGUAGUGUGUUGCCAUGGGUCUGUGUUCAAUUGUAGUGUGUUGCCAUGGGUCUGUGUUCAAUUGUAGUGUGUUGCCAUGGGUCUGUGUUCAAUUGUAAUGUGUUGCCAUGGUCUGUGUUCAAUUGUAGUGCGUUGCCAUGGGUCUGUGUUCAAUUGUAAUGUGUUGCCAUGGUCUGUGUUCAAUUGUAAUGUGUUGCCAUGGGUCUGUGUUCAAUUGUAGUGUGUUGCCAUGGUCUGUGUUCAAUUGUAAUGUGUUGCCAUGGUCUGUGUUCAAUUGUAAUGUGUUGCCAUGGUCUGUGUUCAAUUGUAAUGUGUUGCCAUGGGUCUGUGUUCAAUUGUAGUGUGUUGCCAUGGUCUGUGUUCAAUUGUAGUGUGUUGCCAUGGUCUGUGUUCAAUUGUAAUGUGUUGCCAUGGGUCUGUGUUCAAUUGUAGUGUGUUGCCAUGGUCUGUGUUCAAUUGUAAUGUGUUGCCAUGGGUCUGUGUUCAAUUGUAGUGUGUUGCCAUGGUCUGUGUUCAAUUGUAAUGUGUUGCCAUGGGUCUGUGUUCAAUUGUAGUGUGUUGCCAUGGUCUGUGUUCAAUUGUAAUGUGUUGCCAUGGGUCUGUGUUCAAUUGUAGUGUUGCCAUGGGUCUGUGUUCAAUUGUAGUGUUGCCAUGGGUCUGUGUUGGUCAUCCUGGUGUGUUGCGAGUCUGGUGUCCGGCGGUGUUUGUGAAUCUGUAUACAGGUAACUCGAUUUACACGUGUUUGGUUUACGCGUUUUUGAAAUACCGCGUGGUCCGAAAUCCAAAGAAAUGUUUAAUUUACACGUUUUUUUUCACUUAUACGCGAUAUUUUAUUUAGUGUCCACCAGAUGUCUCACGCAACUGGACUCACACGGCCACACAGCUGAGCUCAGAUCUUCCCGCGCGCCACUUGAACAACAAUACAGUACCCACGCUGCUCAACAACAACAACAACAACACCCUCGCUGCUGUGCUACCACGAGGGGAAGGGCAGCCAGGGGAGGAACCACGAGAGGGAGAGGAGUCCGAGUGAUACAGUAGGCAAUACAAACCUGCCUCUUGUUGGAUUUACAUUGGUUUUGAUGUACGCGACCUCUUCAAGGACACAAGACUCGCCUGAAUCCAGAGUUACCUGUAUAAUGAAUGCCAGCCAUACAGGACACAGUCGCCAGUCUCAGUAACAUCACCAAAAAUAACAAAAACAGUCAAUUAUAGAUGAUUUUGAGUUAAGAAUUCUUAGUAGUGUCAUAAACUGUUCUGUUAAUUUACAAGCUUGCUGAUUAUAUUUAUUAACCGUGUAGCAGUGAUGGGCCAAAUUUGUGGCUUUACCGUGUAGCAGUGAUGGGCCAAAUUUGUGGCUUUACCGUGUAGCAGCGACGGGCCAAAUUUGUGGCUGUACCGUGUAGCAGCGACGGGCCAAAUUUGUGGCUUUACCGUGUAGCAGCGACGGGCCAAAUUUGUGGCUUUACCGUGUAGCAGCGACGGGCCAAAUUUGUGGCUUCACCGUGUAGCAGCGACGGGCCAAAUUUGUGGCUUUACCGUGUAGCAGCGACGGGCCAAAUUUGUGCCAUGAUAUAAACCCCAAAAAUAGAUGAUACAUAAACUGACCACAAAUGCUUUGAUAUGUAUUAUGAAAUGGUUUGUGUGAGGGGUGAUUUUUUCUCAUUUUUCUCGCUUGGAGGGACCAUUAAGAAACAUGGUCCCAGAUGCUUCCAACACUGGGUUAACCACACAACACACACGUCACGGGACACCAGACUGAUAGCACACAAUGACCCACACCCCAGGACCUAUUUGCACACCUUCCUCCCGUCCCGUAUCCCACCCCAAUCUCUCUCUCUCAUAACCCGACCCUUUCUCUCUAAAACCACACACAGUUUCAGGUCAAUAAAUUUCAAGUUUUUUAGCUAUUCCAUGUUAUCUUAGCGUACAGGACAUCUUAUAAAGGCAAUGAUAUUAUAGUAAUCUUAGGUCACACACGCACACACACACACACACUCGCUCGCUCGCUCGCUCGCUCUCAUUCCCUUAGAGUUAUAAUAUAUCUUUACAAGUGCUUUUAAAUAUAUAGUGUUUCUUAAUGUCUGUUUUUUCCGAUCAUUUUCUCUCGUUUUCUCUCAUUUUCUCUCAUUACUAAAAUAUGGACUUUGCAUUUUCUUCCACUAUCUCUAAUUUUCUCUCUUUUUCUCUCUUUCUUUCUCUCUUUUUCCGACACGAACACAAUUUUUUCACUGGUUUUUUUUUUUCUUUCUUUUCCCACACACACACACACACACACACACACACACACACACACACACACACACAC